RNAcentral lists this long non-coding RNA (2040 nucleotides) under Sus scrofa (pig). RNAcentral's name for it is "lncRNA (ENSSSCG00035050996.1)". The record is from RNAcentral. Lineage: Eukaryota; Metazoa; Chordata; Mammalia; Artiodactyla; Suidae.
GCGGCGGCAGGGGCGGCGACGGCAGCGGCGCAGCUCCGCUCCCCGCGCGUCUCCCGUCCCCGCGCCCGGACAGGGCGCGCAGCUCUGCUGCCGGGAUGCGACCGCCCGCCCGCCGCGGCCGCCGCCUGGCGCUCCCGGCACUGCUGGCGUUGUUCACCUGCUCCUUGGCUUUUGCUUUGGUUUCUGAAGAUAUGAAGAAAGAGGUCAAACAAUCUAAGGUACUAAUAAUUCUAAUGAUCAAAUCUAUUCUCUCUCUCUGCAAUUUGUUUUUAUUUUCUUUAAUGGGAGUUGUAAUGAUUUCAACUUUCAAUGGUUAUAAAAUUUUUUAAAAUGAUUUAGUGGAACAUAAAUUUUUGAAUCCAUAGCAGCCACCCACAAAUAGUCUUGCCUAAAAAAAUGCUUUAAUAGUUAAAGCACAUCCACUUGGUUUUAGAUUUCAUUUUAAGAAAAAAGGUACUUUGGUAUCAAGCUGGACUUUGUAUUUUUAGGGCUGUACUCACAACAUAUGGAGGUUCCCAAGCUAGAGGUCGAAUUGGAGCUGUAGCCCACUGGCCUACACCACAGCCACAGCAAUGCCAGAUCCAAGCCAUGUCUGCAGCCUGCACCACAUCUCACAGCACCACUGGAUCCUUAACCUACUGAGCGAGGCCAGGGAUCGAACCCACAACCUCAUGGUUCCUACUCGGAUUCGUUUCCACUGCGCCACGACGGGAACUCUGAGCUGCACAUUGUAAAAGUCCUUCUUGGAUACGAUUGUUUUCUCCAGCCCUACUGCAUCAUAACCCUGGGCUUCAGAAAGGAUUACCCUGUGCCCAGGUUGCAUGAACCUGAGUGUCUGUCACCUUGAAGCUGGCCCCGGGUGAGAGGGCAUCUUGGGGACUGGCUGAGAGACCCCAAAGAUGACUGCCAGGGUCCUCGCACAAUCAGAACCAGAAACCGAGACCUGGGGCCCGAUGGAGGGGGGACAGCGCUUGUCUAAAUCUCAGAGCUGCUCCCUUUCCCUGGUUGCUGGUUGCGCUCAAGAACUGCAUCUAGGGGUUCCUGCUGUGGCACAGUGGGAUCAGCGGCAUCUUGGUAAUGCCAGGAUGCAGGUUCAGCCCCUGGCCAGCCCCCGUGGUUAAGGAUUUGGUGUUACCAUAGCUGUGGUGUAGCUCGCAACUGCGGCUUGGAUGUGAUCCCUGGCCCCACGAACUCCGUGUGCUGUGGAGCUGCCAAAAAAAAGAAAAACUGCCAUCUAAAUUUUACUGUUUGCGGUUGCAUUAGAUCAGUUUAGCAUAUGAGGAAGAGAAUCUUUUAAAAAUAGGAGUUGUUUUUGUCAUAUUAAUUAAGGCUCAGUUGAUUCUAUUUUUUUACCCUAUAAUGAGUAUAAAAGCAUUUUAUUUAUUUAUUUAUUUGGUCUUUUUGCCUUUUUCCAGGGCCACUUCCCACAGCAUAUGGAGGUUCCCAGGCUAGGGAUUUAAUCCGAGCCACAGCCGCUGGCCUUACGCCACAGCCACAGCAAUGUGGGUUCCGAGCUGCAUCUGCAACCUACACCACAGCUUACGGCAAAGCAGGAUCCUUAACCCACUGAGCAAGGGCAGGGACCGAACCCGCAACCUCAUGGUUCCUAGUUGGAUUUGUUAACCCCUGCGCCACGACGGGAACUCCUAAAAGCUUUUUAAAAUAGAAUGUUUCUUUUACCAAGUAUGAUCUGUUCUGAGUAAAUCAUGGGAUUCCUACCCAGGGGAGAUGAUAGUAAUUCCGUAUGGUUUUAAGACGUUUAUGGUAAAUAAGGCAUUUUCAGACAUUUCAUUUAAUUUGAUUUUCUCAGGGAUCAUGCUAUUGCUAAACAAAGCAGAUAUUUCCAUGUGUAGUAGAGAAAAUUUACCGUCAGAAAUUAAUGUGACCGAGGUCACAUGACUAUUAAAAGGUGAAGUUGAGUUCUCUUGUGACGUGGUGGGUUAAGAAUCCAGACUUGUCACUGCUGCGGCUCGGGUUGCUGAUCCCUGGCCCUGGAACUUCCACAUGCCAUGGGUGUAGCCAAAAAAAAAAAAAAAAAAA